RNAcentral lists this ribosomal RNA (2673 nucleotides) under Triticum aestivum (bread wheat). RNAcentral's name for it is "partial small subunit ribosomal RNA". Lineage: Eukaryota; Viridiplantae; Streptophyta; Magnoliopsida; Poales; Poaceae. The record is from RNAcentral.
AUGCCUCCCGCCAUCGCGCUGCUGCUCGCGCAGCUGGUGCUGUGCGGGUGCCUCUCGCCGGCGGUGUCUGCCGCCGCCGUCGUCCCCAGGCGGGUGCUGCACCAGCCGCUGUUUCCCAUUGAGUGGACUCCGCCCCCGUCGCCGCCGCCUCCGCCCGCGCCGGACUUCACCUCCGACCCCAGCCCUCCCGUGGCCACGCCCGACGCCCCUCCCGUGGCGACGCCCGAUGCCCCUCCCGGCGACUUCUUCCCUCCCGCACCGCCGGUGUCCAGUGAUGGUGGUGGCGGCGGUACGGCUUCGUCCCCCCCGAACACCGUCACCGCCGACGUCUCCACCCCGCCCUCUCCCACCGCUGCCGGCCACGGCCCCAAGAAGGCGACCAUAGUGGCGGCCGGGGCGGCCGCCGCCGCCGGGGUCGCGCUGCUCGGCUUCGCCUGCGCGUUCCUCAUCACCGGCCGCGCCCGCCGCCGCUGCGACUCGCAGAAGCUGCUCGGCCCCGACGGCGGGCCGGCGCUCCGCCGCACGGCCCCCUCCGCCGCCGACUUCCUCUACGUCGGCACGGUGGAGCCCACCACGCCGGCGCACCAGCGCGGGCCCACCAGCGCCGAUCUCGCCGGCUCCCCGUACCGCAAGCUGCGGAACGAGCGCGCGCGCCGCGCGGUGUGCCGCGACGAGGCCACCGACCACCCGAGCCCGGAGCUCCGGCCGCUCCCGCCGCUGCGGCGCGCCACCACCAUGGGCUCCUCCGACGAGGACGCGUACUACACGCCGCGGCAGCGCUCGGGGGGCUCCGGCUCGGGCGCCGGCGGCGGGGCCGGCAGCGGCGUGUACGGCGAGACGUGGAGCGAGGCGAGCGCGUCCAGCCCGCCCACCACCACCACGGCUUCCCGCCGCAGCCUCCCCAGCAUGACCAGCGACUUCUUUCCCCCGGUCGCCGCCAUCGCCGCGCUCCCGCCGCCCCCACGGUCCCGCCGCACGCGCACGCCCCCGCGCACGCGCUUCUCCACUGGCUCCACCCCCGACGUCAAGCAGGCAAUCUCGCCAUCCCCGCGGCCGGUGCAACCCUCCAACCCACCUCCACGUCCACCACCACCACCUCCUCCUCCUCCACCACCACCGACAGCGCCGCCCAAGUCCAACGCAGCUCCAAGGCCCCCUCCUCCACCACCACCGCCACCGAUGGCGUCAACUAACAGCCUCCCCCCAAAGACGGGGGAGCCGACAUCCAGGCGCCGGUUGCUGAAGCCGCUGCCGCCGGAAGGGCCCCGCAUUGCCAUGCCGAUGCCGAUCACGGCGGCGGCAGCGGCGGAGAACAACGGGAGCACGUCGAUGCGGGCGGAGGACGACGCGGCCGGCGGCCUGCCGAAGCUGAAGCCGCUGCACUGGGACAAGGUGCGGGCGACCUCCGACCGCGCCAUGGUCUGGGACCAGCUCAAGUCAAGCUCAUUCCAGUUGGACGAGGACAUGAUCGAGGCGCUCUUCAUGAACAACUCCAUGCCCGCCGCGCCGCCGAGGGACACCGGGAGGAAGCCCGCCGCGCCGGCGUUCAGGCAGGAGGAGAGGGUGCUCGACCCCAAGAAAGCGCAGAACAUCGCCAUCUUGUUGCGCGCCUUGAAUGUCACGCGUGAGGAGGUCUCGGACGCGCUCCUGGACGGCAAUGCUGAAUGUUUAGGCAGUGAGCUUUUGGAAACGUUAGUCAAGAUGGCACCUACGAAAGAGGAGGAGGUCAAACUGCGGGAUUACAGUGGCGACCUAUCGAAGCUGGGAACCGCGGAACGCUUUCUCAAGACUGUGCUGGAUAUACCUUUCGCCUUCAAAAGAGUUGACGCUAUGCUGUACCGAGCCAAUUUCGAGACUGAGAUAAAUUACCUAAGGAAGUCUUUUGAAACGCUAGAGGCAGCUUGUGAAGAUCUUAGGGGUAGCAGGUUGUUCCUAAAACUCCUUGAAGCAGUGCUGAGGACCGGGAAUCGGAUGAAUGUCGGCACGAACCGGGGCGAGGCUAAGGCCUUUAAGCUUGACACCCUCCUCAAGCUCGCAGACGUCAAGGGAGCUGAUGGCAAAACCACGCUGCUGCACUUUGUUGUCCAAGAAAUGAUCCGAUCGGAAGACGCGAAAUCUGAAAAGGAAAACACCACGGCCACCAGCUCCAAAGAUAAAGGCCUGAAGGUUGUGUGCGGGCUGAGCAGCGAGCUCGGAAACGUCAAGAAGGCGGCUUCCAUGGACUUCGAUGUUCUGCACGGCUACGUCAGCAAGCUCGAGACGGGCCUCGAGAAGAUCAAGUCGGUGUUGCAGCUCGAGAGGCAGUGCACGCAGGGCCAGAGGUUCUUCAUCGCAAUGCAGGGCUUUCUGAAGGAGGCCGACAAGGAGAUCGAGAUAGUGAGAGGCGAGGAGAAGCGGGCUCUGGGGAGGGUGAAAGACAUCACCGACUACUUCCACGGGGACGCCGCGAAGGAGGAGGCGCACCCUCUGAGGAUAUUCAUGGUGGUGAGGGACUUCCUCUCGAUGUUGGAUCACGUCUGCAGGGAGGUUGGCCGGAUGCAGCAGGACAGAACCGUCGUCGGGUCGGCGAGGUCGUUCCGUGUCUCGACGACAGCCCCAUUGCCGGUCCUAAGUUUGUAUGGCCAACGGCGGCAGAACAACUCCGACGACGAUGAUGAUAGCAUGUCGUCGUAG